AUGAAAGCUUGUUCGGCCACGGGGCAAGAUGGCCUCCCGGUAUUCCAGAAAUUCAGGGAGAUCCUACGUCCGGUCAGUAUGCCCAUGUUACAUGAGUUCUAUAUUGGAACCCUGGAUAUGGAUAGGAUUAACUAUGGUGUCAUAUCUCUGAUCCCCAAAGUAGUUGGGGCUAUGGAUAUUCAGAAGUUUCGUCCCAUCACGGUGAUCAACAUGUUGGAGCGAAUCUUUGUGAAGGUUUGCAUGACCCGUUUAUCCCCCGUGGCAGAAAGGAUUGCCCACCCCCUUCAGUCCGCGUUCUUGAAGGGCAGGCGGAUCCAUGACGGGACUUUGCCCAUCACGAGAUCGUCCACGAGGCGAAGGGUCUUAAGGGGGUCUUCCUCAAAUUGGACUUCCAUAAGGCGUAUGAUCGUCUGGAAUGGUCCUUUUUGA
This 429-nucleotide ribosomal RNA is filed under the name Triticum aestivum (bread wheat). RNAcentral describes it as "partial small subunit ribosomal RNA". Lineage: Eukaryota; Viridiplantae; Streptophyta; Magnoliopsida; Poales; Poaceae. The record is from RNAcentral.